CUUCCUUAUUGAAGUUUAAUUUAUGUCAAUGCUAUCUUAGUUUCAGGUAUAAAACAUAGUGAUACAACAUUUAUAUAUAUAUUUAUUUUCUUUUCUUUUUUUGUCUUUUUAGGCUGUACCUGUGGGAUAUGAAAGUUUCCAGGCUAGGCGUUGAAUCAGAGCUGUAGCUGCCAGCCUACAACAUAGCUACAGCAAUGCAAGGUCCAAACCAUGUCUGUGACCUAUACCACAGCUCUUGGCAAUGCCAGAUCCUUAACCCACUGUGAAAGGCCAGGGAUCAAACCUGCAUCCUAAUGCAUGCUAGUCAGACUCGUUUCUGCUGAGCCAUGACAGGAACGCCAUAUAUAUAUUUUUUUUUUCUCAAAGAAACAAGUUUUUCAGUCUGGGUGGGCCACAUAUUAGCUGUUAGAGCUGUACAGCUCUGCUGUUAUAGUAUAAUAGAAGCCAUAGAUAUUACAUAAAUGAAUGGGUUUGGCUGUGUUCCAAUGACAUUUUAUUUGCAAAAUGAGGAGGCUGGGGCCUGUAGACCUUAGUUUAUCAAUUCCUGGGCUAUGUUGACUUGUGUAACAAACAUUCCCCAAAUCUCAGUGAUCCAAAACAUCAAAGAUUUAUUUCAGUCAUUUCCUUUUUCAUGUUACAUGUUAAUUUUAGAUUUAUCAGAGGGCUUCUACUCAUCUUAGUUACUCAGAGACCCAAGUUAAGUGAACUUGUUACCAUUCAAAUAGAAAAGAAUGCUCUGGUAAUUAAGUGUUUGCUUUAGAAGAGAUACUCAUCAUUUCCAUUCAUUACUCAUUAGCCAGAACUGGAGGAGGAGAGGGAAUGGGAUAGACUGGGAGUUUAGGGUUGGUAGAUGCAAACUAUCACAUUUAGGAUGGAUAUGCAAUGAGGUCCUGCUGUAGAGUAAAGGGAACUACAUCCAAUCUCUUGGGAUAGACUAUGAUGGAAUACAGUGUAAGAAAAAUAAUGUGUGUGUGUGUAUUACUGGGUCACUUUGCUAUACAGCAGAAAUUGGCACUUUAUAAAUCAACUAUUCUUUAAUUUAAAAAUAAAAGACCAGGACUUCCAGUCGUGGCGCAGUGGUUAACGAAUCCGACUAGGAACCAUGAGGUUGCGGGUUCCGUCCCUGCCCUUGCUCAAGUAAUAUGCUAGCCACAAGCCUAAUCAAUAAGCUCUGGGCACUCUUGAAAUAAAAUUGAGCUUGAAAUAUCCUACUAAGAUUACACACCUUCUAGCUUAAAUGGGAUUAAAAGUCUUCCACACCUUUGCCAAUGAAGACCAUCCAUUGUGCCACUGGGACAGCAGCACUUAUUAGCAAAUCUAUCCUGGUACAAACAUCUGUGUAUGUGUGUUCAUCCAUGUAUGUGUGUGCAGGUGUGUGGGGGCAUAUGUGUGUAUGCACAUGUGAAAAGACAUCUGUCUAGGCAUUAGAUUUAAUCUGGGAAUUCGAUACUCCUGCUACAAUCAUACAAACUUCAUGCUAAGCAUGUACAAUAAGUGGAAGAUACUUAUAGAAAAUCUCUUUUGUAUGUGUAAAUGUAAUGCAUAUUUUAUUUUAAGGCAUCAGCUGGAGUGAUAGCUCCAUAAAGAUAUAAUGAUAUUUCCCUUAUUGGGGAAAGUCGAAUAUUUUUGUCCAACUCACAUGAUUUCAAACUUUGAUUCUGCCAGUUAUUAGCUGUGUAAUAUAGGGUAGGUUUUAGAGCUUCUCUAAGCCUCAAUGAUCCAGUCUGUACAACAAGGGAAAUCAUACUUAACCUUAAGUUUUAUAGUGAGCAUUUUGUGAGAUAAUGUUGAUAAACAAAUUGAAAUGAGAGAGUGCUGAAUAAUGAAUGAUAUUAUAAAAAGAUGUGGCCUGGUUCUCAGGAAUACAAUAGUGUACUUGCUGAGAAAUGACAGACACACACGAAGCAUCAAACCAUGGUAAAAGAGAUAAAUAGCCAAUCAGCAGAGCAUGAAAGAAUAUGACUAAUUGCAUAAUAAAUGUUUUAAGAGGUUAUAGAUGGAAGAACAGAGUGAGCAGGAUUAUAGGAGAAGAUAUUCAGAUCAGGGCCAACUUGAACUGGACCUUGAAGGGCAGGGAAGGGCAAGAAAAGGUGAGCAGGUGAUAACAUGCAGUACAGACAGAGAAGACAGUGGAUAGCCCACUUUGGCUGGAAAGCUGGCUCUGGGGCCUUGUGUAUUUGAAGAUAAGCCUAGAAAGGCUGGCUGGGGUGGGCUAAGAAGCCUUUGAAUGUCAAGCUAAUGCAUCAUAUGGACAACUGAAGGAGACUGUCUUUCCAAUUCAUUUUAAUCUGUUCUAAACCCACAUAAUUCAACAGAUCUAGUUAUCCCUUCUGCCUAUUUAUCAUGUUUUCAAAGUUACCUUGUAUAAGAGGGAAACAAGGGGCCAGAGAUAAGCUAUGGGUACAUCACCUCAUGACUGAUGUUUAGCUCUAGUGAUCAUGUUACUGUGUUCAUCUCCCGCAGACCUUAAGCCCAUGGCUCUUUCCUGCUGCAGUGCUCUGGGUGCCAAUCCUUUUGCAUUUUCUGU
RNAcentral lists this long non-coding RNA (2527 nucleotides) under Sus scrofa (pig). RNAcentral describes it as "lncRNA (ENSSSCG00060058113.1)". Lineage: Eukaryota; Metazoa; Chordata; Mammalia; Artiodactyla; Suidae. The record is from RNAcentral.